CAGGGACGCGGUGCGGCCGGUUCUCGGGGCGGCGCGGAGCCCGUGGCGGGGGCAGUUCCCUUGGCCGCGUCCGGCCCGCAGAGCACAGUUUGCCCACCCCUGUUCUAGGUGCCAGUGUAGCUGGAAACUCCUGUACUGAGGAAGGAAUCUCUGGAAUUGUGAUGUUGAGGAUCCACAUGGUGGCUGGGAGAGCAGUGAGUGAGUGGAUGGGCAGCUGUUCCAGCAGAAGUGCCAGUGGAAUAUGCACUUUGUCCCCAUCUGGCACUGUAGAUGUUACUUGAAAAAGAACUCUGAAGGAGAGGCAGACAUGAUGCUUUCAGUCUCCUGGGAGAAGAUACCUUGCUGUCUUUGCCCUCUUCACCGGUUGGGAAGGAAACCAAAUAAGGGCACAGUCCAGCUCCCA
This is a long non-coding RNA of Caretta caretta (loggerhead turtle), 403 nucleotides long. RefSeq lists it as uncharacterized. Lineage: Eukaryota; Metazoa; Chordata; Testudines; Cheloniidae. The record is from RefSeq and is a predicted model, not a curated record.